Molecule: transfer RNA, 20 nt
Filed under: Megapodius cumingii
Lineage: Eukaryota; Metazoa; Chordata; Aves; Galliformes; Megapodiidae
Description: partial tRNA-Met
Source: RNAcentral
UUCAACCCCCUCCCCUAUUA